Aphanizomenon flos-aquae is the source of this 258-nucleotide non-coding RNA. The record is from Rfam. NCBI's taxonomy places the organism in Bacteria, Bacillati, Cyanobacteriota, Cyanophyceae, Nostocales, Aphanizomenonaceae.
GUCAGUAACUCAACCCUAAAGGGAUUGAGCUUGUAAGAGAAAUCAAACAAGCUGUACUGACCAGACCACCCUGAGCGAUGUCGAAGGGUAGCCGUUAUUUGAGUCACGACACCUUGGAAUGCGUUCGCGCCAGCGUGCCGUCAGGCAUAGCUAGUUCCCCGCUCUGUCGCUGUAAGUUAAACAGUUCUAAAGUCACUGGAACAGUGCUUUCAGCCUAACAAGCUCUUAUAACAGGUCGUUCGCGUAAGCGUGCCGGAG